This 1501-nucleotide long non-coding RNA is filed under the name Triticum aestivum (bread wheat). RNAcentral describes it as "long non-coding RNA (TAES_LNC025708)". Lineage: Eukaryota; Viridiplantae; Streptophyta; Magnoliopsida; Poales; Poaceae. The record is from RNAcentral.
AUGUCGCAACCCGCCAGAUCAGACGGAUGCUCACGCGUGGGAGCGGUGCUGCUCCGGCGAGCUCCUUCCCCUUGAGCACGGCGCGUCGUCGACAACCUCCAUCCUCUUCUUCCCUCUUCCAUCAGUCGAGCACAACUCCGGUGAGCUUGUUGACCAGCGAGUCCUACUGUCGCUGAUUCUACUAUUGUCACCAUCGCGUGGCUAUAGAGCAUCAAUGGCAGAUCGAGUAAAAUUGUCAUGGCAGGUCAAGUAAUAAUGGCAGCGACAACACAACUACCGGUGGCUAGAAAUGCAUGGUGAGAAUUGAAAAUCCGAGCGUAAGAGGAUUUUCGCAGCACAUGUUGUGUGUUUGCUGGAAUCUCUGGGUGAACUAACAAAGGUUUACUUUGUGAAAAUUCUAAAAGUGUUGUUUGGAUGAGAUCUGAAGUUCAAGUUGUUGGCCAGCUGAAGGUCCAUGAAUAGGCAAACGCCUGUAGUGAACACAAGGUUCUCAAGGCUAGGCCUCCGUGCUGUGCUCUAAACUUUUCAUCCUCAACCGCACGCCUGUAGUGAACAUCUUGUUCCGCUGCUGUUAUAUUGUAUCUAGAUCAAGCGUUGAUAACUCCCCCUGUCCAGUUCUAUAUUAUUUCUAAGUAAUUUUGAUGUCUGAAGUUUAUCUAUAUGUACAGGUGCAAAAAACUGAUCUUUUCCGUUGGUUUCAGUUUCACAGGUCCUUCAGAAAAAUGGGAAAAAGGCGUUUUCUUCCAUGUUUAUCUACAAAAUGUUUCAAUGCCUCUGUUUAUAGGAGGCACAGAGAUGUUUCCUGGACGGAUGUGCAAUCUAGUUUAAAUGGGCGAUGGCACAAAAUUAGGCUCUCUUAGGAGUCGGAAUGGCGCUCUUAGAUGCCCAUUUAAUUUCAGCGGAGCUGGUGCUUGUGUGUUCGGAUGAAGACAUGAAUUGUGUGCGGGAUUAGAAAAGAAAAUUGUGGCAGAGAUAAUGCCAUAGGCGUGGGUAAGUGGUGAUGUGAGGAGAUGCAUACACAUGUGUGUACAUUCCAAAUCUACACUCAUAUGUACUACUGCUUUUUUUGAGACAAAAAUGUGCUCCUGCUAAGAUAGAGAAACUACAUGUAUUUCUGUAUUUAUGCUUAAAAAAUCACUGAAAAAACAGCCCCUUUGGGUGCUUCAUGUACAUCAGUACAAUGUGUGCAAAGCUGAAAAAUACUAGAUAGGAUUACCUAUGUUGGAAAUAAUUUUAGUCUAUAUUCCAAUUCAACGGUCUUAGUCUGACCGAGAUGUUGUAGGCAGAGGUCAUAGCAUGGCUGCAGUUAACUACAAAUACAAUCGGAAGCAUUAUAGAUUAGAGAAAAACAAUACGGUCGAGAAGUUGCACUUUACGUGUGCGAUAGUUCGAAGGCGGACAUCCGAGGAGUUCAAAUUUUUCUGGGAAAGCAGGACAUCCGAGGAGUUCAAUUUUUUGGGGAAAGCAGAAAGUGUAACGCUUCCUUGGGUGAAUAUACUUG